CUUAAGAUGAGAACUGAGAACUAAUCUUAGCCCUUAGAUCAAUCAAAUUAACGGCCCAUAUCUUGUCCGACCAAAUCAAAAAAUAAGGGCAAUAGAGUAAUUUCACCGCCUUUGAAUGACCUCCCCUUCGUUCUCAAUUUUCAGAUUUUUUUCUCUCUUCCCCCCGUUUUCUGUCUCCUUCAGCAAAUCCUCUGAGAGCUUCGAUUCACAUCUCCAUCUUCUCCAACAUUUUCGAUUAUCGUCCUGCAAUUCCUUCAUAUUCUUUGCGAUCGUCUCUCUCAAUUCACGAACGCAGGUUGCUUUAGGGCUCUUGUUGAUGCAUGAAGUCAAGGAGGGAGUGUACUGGUAGCAGGUGGUUUCCAGAAUUAGAGAUUUGGUGAAUGUUGGUUAACAAGUACAAAUGUUGUUAUUUAUAUGGCCUGAUGAUUCCAGAGUCAUUAUCAAGACUCCCAGCUCGAAAUUCUCAGGUCUAGCUUGAUCUAACUUAAUGAUCCUUAGAUCAAUCCAACUUUGAAGAUAAGAGACUUCCUGAGAUUAAGCAGUUUUUAUUUUCUACAAUCAUUUGCAGUCAUUGCGGACAUAUCCCCAUUCAGGUAUCAUGACUAUUCUGAAUAUCAAAUUUUAAUAGCUAGCAUAAAAAACUGUUAAAGAAAGAUAUUUACGUGGUAAAUUGAGCAUUAGUUGGAUAAAAUUAUGCAAAUAAAAGCUUGCACGUUUUCAUUGAACAAACAAAGAAGGGUUAGAUGACUAAUAUUGUUUGACCACUUCUAAUUCCCAUCUUCUAAGGGUUAGGAAAUUUGAUCAUAUCUGAUUCUGACAAGUCAUACGCAGAUGUCAUCCUUGCAUAUUCUUGGCAUAUCAGCAUAUUCCUUCUAAUCCUCAUUGAUGGAUUGCGAGUUUAGCAACCACCUAACAUCAGAAAAAUGGACGAUACCUAUAAUUCUAGUUUAGUGUUCUUCUUGUAGCUGUAGCUGUCAUGUUUGAAGACUUUAUGAAGCCUUUAAUAUGAUCAGCUAGGCAGCCGCGUUUCAGUCGGCUUGUUGUUCAGUCGGCUGGUUGCUGCAGGUCUGUUACUUAUGAGUAUUUUUGAGAUUUUCUCAUUUACUUUUGAGUAUUUUUAAUUUACUUUUGAGUAUGUUUAAUUUACUUUUAAGUUAAUACUCCCUAGUCCCUAUUAUUUACUCCUGAAUUUUUUUAGGUUCUUCUCUAUGUUGUAGCAGUCUUGUUUGCAAACGCGGUUUUAGUUCUAGUAGAGGCAGCGUUUGUUCUGACCAGCUAGGCACCCACGUUCAGGUCUGCUGGUUGCGCAGGUCUGUUGGCAGUAGCUAGUUGUUGCAGACCUGAUGCAGGAUGUUCGAAGCUGAAGUCAACUUUUCAAGGUUGACUUUUGUAGCAGGUCGGUACAUAUUUGUUUUUUCUGCUUGCUGUUGUCUGCUUCUGAGCAGUUCAUGGUCAAUUUGAGCUAUUAGUUUUUAAGAAAAUAUUUAAGAAAAAAAUUAUAAUAGUUUCAUUAUUAUUUUGUUUACGUUUAGAGGGAUUUAGUCUACUUUUGGAGAUAUUUAGUUUACUUACGCUCAAUUCAGUUACAUUAUCUGUUUGUGUCAACACACCACCUUAUUAAUCACCACAUAUUUUCCUUAUUGUAGCCUAUUAGCUCAAUUGGUAGAGCUUUGUGCAUUGCACAAUGACGUAUGUUCGAAUCCUACAUAGGCAAUAUUUAGUACUCCGCAUAUGAUGUGAACUCUCCUAUUUGAUAAUUAUGUUACUUUUGAAUCAGUUAUAACUACUUCUACGAGUAGUUUAUUUACUCCUAUAUUGAACAAAAGUAACCGUCAAAAAAAAAUUGAACAAAAGUAAUAAUUAUAUGUGUACUUUAGAUAUAUUUUGAUUUACUUUUGAGGUAUUUCAAUUUACUUUUUAGUUUCUUGUAUUUACUUUUAAUCUCUUUUUUUUAAAAGUUUACUCUAAGAAACAACCUAUGUAGGAAUCGAACCUACAUCCCCUAUGCAUAUGCAUAGUGCUCUACCAUUUGAGCUAAGGUUUAAGUACAUCUACUAACAAAAUAUCAGAACAAACAGAAGUUUGCAAGUGGCAGAACAAUUUCUGCUUAG
Molecule: long non-coding RNA, 2111 nt
Organism: Spinacia oleracea (spinach)
Lineage: Eukaryota; Viridiplantae; Streptophyta; Magnoliopsida; Caryophyllales; Amaranthaceae
Exons: 3
Source: RefSeq, a predicted model, not a curated record